Molecule: ribosomal RNA, 467 nt
Filed under: uncultured bacterium
Lineage: Bacteria
Description: bacterial SSU rRNA
Rfam family: Bacterial small subunit ribosomal RNA
Source: RNAcentral
AGAAAGUCCGCUUCGGUGGAUGAGUAAAGUGGCGCACGGGUGAGUAACGCGUGGAUAAUCUACCCUUUAGUCUGGAAUAACUUAUCGAAAGGUGAACUAAUACCGGAUAAUAUCCCGAUUUCUUCGGCGAUCGGGAUCAAAGAAGGCCUCUGCUUGCAAGCUUUCACUGAAGGAUGAGUCCGCGUACCAUUAGCUAGUUGGCAGGGUAAUGGCCUACCAAGGUUAUGAUGGUUAGCUGGUCUGAGAGGAUGAUCAGCCACACUGGAACUGAAACACGGUCCAGACUCCUACGGGAGGCAGCAGUGAGGAAUAUUGCGCAAUGGGGGCAACCCUGACGCAGCAACGCCGCGUGAGUGAGGAAGGUUUUCGGAUUGUAAAGCUCUGUCGAGCGGAAAGAAGUGCAUGGUGGUUAAUAUCCAUCAUGCUUGACGGUACCGCUAAAGGAAGCACCGGCUAACUCCGUGCCA